RNAcentral lists this small RNA (29 nucleotides) under Bombyx mori (domestic silkworm). RNAcentral describes it as "ovarian small RNA-26726". Lineage: Eukaryota; Metazoa; Arthropoda; Insecta; Lepidoptera; Bombycidae. The record is from RNAcentral.
UCCACUGCUGGACUUAAGCCUCUCCCAAU